Molecule: ribosomal RNA, 462 nt
Filed under: uncultured bacterium
Lineage: Bacteria
Description: partial 16S ribosomal RNA
Rfam family: Bacterial small subunit ribosomal RNA
Source: RNAcentral
GACGAACGCUAGCGGCGUGCUUAACACAUGCAAGUCGAGCGGUAAGGCCUUUCGGGGUACACGAGCGGCGAACGGGUGAGUAACACGUGGGUGAUCUGCCCUGCACUUCGGGAUAAGCCUGGGAAACUGGGUCUAAUACCGGAUAUGACCUCCUAUCGCAUGGUGGGUGGUGGAAAGAUUUAUCGGUGCAGGAUGGGCCCGCGGCCUAUCAGCUUGUUGGUGGGGUAAUGGCCUACCAAGGCGACGACGGGUAGCCGACCUGAGAGGGUGGCCGGCCACACUGGGACUGAGACACGGCCCAGACUCCUACGGGAGGCAGCAGUGGGGAAUAUUGCACAAUGGGCGAAAGCCUGAUGCAGCGACGCCGCGUGAGGGAUGACGGCCUUCGGGUUGUAAACCUCUUUCAGCAGGGGCGAAGCGCAAGUGACGGUACCUGCAGAAGAAGCACCGGCUAACUACGUG